UACGAAGGGGGCUAGCGUUGCUCGGAAUCACUGGGCGUAAAGGGUGCGUAGGCGGGUCUUUAAGUCAGGGGUGAAAUCCUGGAGCUCAACUCCAGAACUGCCUUUGAUACUGAGGAUCUUGAGUUCGGGAGGGGUGAGUGGAACUGCGAGUGUAGAGGUGAAAUUCGUAGAUAUUCGCAAGAACACCAGUGGCGAAGGCGGCUCACUGGCCCGAUACUGACGCUGAGGCACGAAAGCGUGGGGAGCAAACGGG
RNAcentral lists this ribosomal RNA (253 nucleotides) under uncultured bacterium. Its description in RNAcentral is "partial 16S ribosomal RNA". It matches the Rfam family "Bacterial small subunit ribosomal RNA", at positions 524 to 776 of the family's 1533-position model. The record is from RNAcentral.